This 231-nucleotide unclassified non-coding RNA is filed under the name plant metagenome. RNAcentral describes it as "partial contains small subunit ribosomal RNA, internal transcribed spacer 1, and 5.8S ribosomal RNA". The record is from RNAcentral.
UCUCCGUUGGUGAACCAGCGGAGGGAUCAUUACAGAGUUGCAAAACUCCCAAUCCAUUGUGAACGUUACCUAUCCCGUUGCUUCGGCGGGCGGCCCGGGCCCCGCGCCCGGCGCCCCCCGGCCCCCCGUGGGCGCCCGCCGGAGGUAAACCAAACCCUUGAAUUGCAUGGCCUCUCUGAGUCUUCUGUACUGAAUAAGUCAAAACUUUCAACAACGGGUCUCUUGGUUCUG